GCACACUAAGGCAAUCACAGCAAUGUUCCUGUGCUGUGCAUCUCAACUCAGGUCUCCAAGUGCCUUGGGAAGAGACUCCAAGCUCAUGCAUUAUUCAUCUGCAAUAACUAUCUUUUAAAUUGUAAGAGGAACUUCCUCAGCAUCAUGACUGCUUCCAGUGGUGGAAUCUGCUGAAAACUUUGUGAGCUGCAGUCAGAGAAUUCUAGACCCUUUGCUUCUGGCACCGAUAUGAGUGUUACACCAAAAACGUCGUGAAAGAUCAGCAGGAAUCACAGCCAGGGGCUUUGAGACAUCCAUUAACCCAAUAUCACACUGGUGAGAAGUGAUUUUUUGUCUUUCCUAACUGGAAUAAAGAAAAUUGAGUACAACACCACCACUUGGAGAGUUGAUAAUCCUUGCUGAGGCAGCCCUGGCAGGCUGGGCUCUGUAGAGGUGUUGUUUGAUUUUAACUUUGAAUAUGGAUGAGACACUUUGGUUUGCAGAGCUGUUUUCUUUAUGUGAGGAUAAGUGAGAUGCUGCUGGGAUACAGCAUUUUCCCCUUAUGCUUUCAAAUCUUUCACAAAGACUCAGACAUAAUCAUUGUCCCCCAGUUAUAUAAGCAAGUGUCCCUCAGUUCAUCAAGCACAGAGAAAUAUUACCUGUGCCACUGCCAUUGUUAAAAUGGAUUGCAAGAGGAAGGCAUAAAAUAAGAUUUUGACAGCAAGGGAGACAAAGAGAUGAAAAAGAAAAUGUGAUUUUUCUCCAGAACAUGCAGAUUAUUUUCUAAAUCCUAAAGAGUGACUAUUUCUGGGGAAUACAAAUCAGGCAGCACAAAGGAAGAAAAAUAAAUUAGAUGCACAGCCAGGUAAAU
This is a long non-coding RNA of Passer domesticus (house sparrow), 850 nucleotides long. RefSeq lists it as uncharacterized. The transcript has 3 exons. The record is from RefSeq and is a predicted model, not a curated record. NCBI's taxonomy places the organism in Eukaryota, Metazoa, Chordata, Aves, Passeriformes, Passeridae.